UUCAAGAGUACGUGAAACCGUUCAGGGGUAAACGGGAGAAAUCCUGAAUUCGAAAGGGACCGGAUUCAAGGCCUACCGUGUGUAAGCAGGACGUCCCCACCAGAUGGCGCUGGUCGCCCGCGGCGAUUCAUUUCGCUUGCGGUGUGGUUCCCGGCGAUCACUCGGUGUGGUGCCGUUUCCCUGGCACCGGAGGUGUGCACUUCCACCCUAGUAGAAACGUCGCGACCCGUUCGGUGCCGGUCAAAGGCCCGGGAUGGCAGCCCGUGUGUCCUGUGGGGGAACCCACAGGCGCGUGGACUCUUGGUGACCCGGCCGGCUGCCCGACGGUAUGACCAGAGGAGUCGAUCCGCUGAAAGUGAAACACUGUGGUUGUGUAGCGUCCGGCCCGGCGCCGACGCGUGUGGGGAUUGAGGAGUAAUCCGGGGGUGCCCGUGCGAAGCACGGCCCCGGCCCCACUGCGUGUUCGGAUUGUUCGGUGUCCUCGGACUGGAU
This 492-nucleotide ribosomal RNA is filed under the name Phaenopharos khaoyaiensis. Its description in RNAcentral is "partial large subunit ribosomal RNA". Lineage: Eukaryota; Metazoa; Arthropoda; Insecta; Phasmatodea; Lonchodidae. The record is from RNAcentral.